ACGGGGUGCAGCAGGCGCGAAUCCUCUACAAUGUGCGAAAGCAUGAUAGGGGGACUCCAAGUGUCUCUCUAACGAGAGACUUUUGUAGUAUGUAAAAAGUACUACGAAUAAGGGCUGGUCAAGACUAGUGCCAGCCUCCGCGGUAACACUAGCAGCUCGAGUGGUAGUCGUUUUUAUUGGGCUUAGAGCGUCCGUAGUCUGGCUAGUAAGUUCUUUGUGAAAUCUUGUUGCUUAACAAUAGGGCUUGCAGAGAAUACUACUGGUCUUGGAGCUAGGAGGGGUUGGAGGUAUUCCUAGGGUAGCGGUGAAAUGCUAUAAUCCUGGGAGGACCACCGAUAGCGAAGGCAUCCAACUAGAAUGGGCUCGACGAUGAGGGACGAAAGCUAGGGGAGCGAACAGGAUUAGAUACCCUGGUAGUCCUAGCCGUAAACGAUGUGGACUGAGUGUUUCUUGAACCUCGUGUUCAAGAAGUGUUGAAGGGAAACCGUUAAGUCCACCGCCUGGGGAGUACGGUCGCAAGGCUGAAACUUAAAGGAAUUGGCGGGGGAGCACCACAAGGG
This 560-nucleotide ribosomal RNA is filed under the name uncultured archaeon. Its description in RNAcentral is "bacterial SSU rRNA". It matches the Rfam family "Archaeal small subunit ribosomal RNA", at positions 325 to 887 of the family's 1478-position model. The record is from RNAcentral.